RNAcentral lists this long non-coding RNA (1248 nucleotides) under Sorghum bicolor (sorghum). Its description in RNAcentral is "long non-coding RNA (SBIC_LNC006213)". Lineage: Eukaryota; Viridiplantae; Streptophyta; Magnoliopsida; Poales; Poaceae. The record is from RNAcentral.
ACGACAUAAGUAACACUUUUAAGGUAAAUGGACAACGCUUGAAAAUCUAUCUCGAGCCACAAAACAACCUGGUAGAGGAACUUGAUGUGAUUGAGUUCAUAGAAUUCUCACAUUAAGCUCUCAUAAGCUCUAGACAAUUACCUAACCCUUAACAUGCUCCACGAGUUUUGUUGUCUAUUUGGGUUGUGCAGGAUUUUGAGGCUUAAGAAGAGUGAGACCGAACAUGCAGGCCACAAGAGUGAAUGACUAUGUCAACAUCCAGCUUGGGGGAGGCACCCCCACGUGUAUCUUGAUAAGUAUUACUUUUCUUUCUUGGUUUUAUUUACUAGUAUUCGAAAUUAAAAAAAUGCAUAACCAUGAAACCAAACAAAGUUUUUCUUUUGAGUAACAUAUAAUAGUUUUGUAUAAUCCUAAGUUUUAAAUAAAAUAAAAAGAAAGUUUGAUCCAAGUCUAGGUAAUUGACAAACAUGAUAUGAGAAGGUCUGAGCUACUAUUUAACUUGUUCCAAGUUUUGCUAGAGUUCUAGAGAUUUUAUCUUUUGAAAAUCUAAAAAAUCAAAGAAAAAAAAUGAUGAGAUCCUAGAGUCUUAUAAGAUAUGAAUAUUAAAACUGUGGGCACUUGCUUUGUUCAAGCCAUUGUUAAUUCUUGUAGUUUUGGUUGAGAGAAUUAUCAUGCUCCAAAGAUUAAGGUCUUUUUGUUUUAAAAAUAUAAAAGAUUCACUCUUUUGAAGUAUUAUUGCAUUAGAGGCAUGGGACUAUGCAAAAAUUUGAUUCAAAAAAAAGAGUGAGACUAGAGGAAAAAAUGGACAAGUGUCCGAAGUAGAAUUAGGGGUACAAAGAUACCCACCUGAGUGGAAAAAAUGGACACGUGUCCGAUAGUAGAAUUAGGGGUACUUGGUGCCCGCUUGAAAAAAAAGAAACAAAAUGAUAGCCCAUGGUCCCUCUAAUAAGCAAUAUGCCAUUAAGAGAUGACAAACUUUUCAAAAAGGUUAAAGGUCUUGAUCUAGGAGUAUGACAUUCCUCUCCCUUGACUCCGAGCAUUGACAUAGCAAAAUGCAAAGUAAGUAUGCUAAAACUUUUAAAGCUCUACUUAUAUAUCUUUCGAGAAGAAGGCAAAUGCCUCAGUUUUAUUUUGCAGACUUAAAAGAAACUCCAGAACAAAGGUAAGACAGAAGAACUUGAGACAUAGUGCUUGACUUGAUCGUUCUGUUUUUCAAUCACUUAAGACCUUAGUGAUAACUUAAAAACC